RNAcentral lists this ribosomal RNA (2989 nucleotides) under Salmonella enterica subsp. enterica serovar Agona. Its description in RNAcentral is "23S ribosomal RNA". It matches the Rfam family "Bacterial large subunit ribosomal RNA". The record is from RNAcentral. Lineage: Bacteria; Pseudomonadati; Pseudomonadota; Gammaproteobacteria; Enterobacterales; Enterobacteriaceae. RNAcentral also lists the same sequence under 2 other names.
GGUUAAGCGACUAAGCGUACACGGUGGAUGCCCUGGCAGUCAGAGGCGAUGAAGGGCGUGCUAAUCUGCGAUAAGCGCCGGUAAGGUGAUAUGAACCGUUAUAACCGGCGAUACCCGAAUGGGGAAACCCAGUGUGACUCGUCACACUAUCAUUAACUGAAUCCAUAGGUUAAUGAGGCGAACCGGGGGAACUGAAACAUCUAAGUACCCCGAGGAAAAGAAAUCAACCGAGAUUCCCCCAGUAGCGGCGAGCGAACGGGGAGGAGCCCAGAGCCUGAAUCAGCAUGUGUGUUAGUGGAAGCGUCUGGAAAGGCGCGCGAUACAGGGUGACAGCCCCGUACACAAAAGCGCAUGUGCUGUGAGCUCGAUGAGUAGGGCGGGACACGUGGUAUCCUGUCUGAAUAUGGGGGGACCAUCCUCCAAGGCUAAAUACUCCUGACUGACCGAUAGUGAACCAGUACCGUGAGGGAAAGGCGAAAAGAACCCCGGCGAGGGGAGUGAAAAAGAACCUGAAACCGUGUACGUACAAGCAGUGGGAGCACAGGUUUACCUGUGUGACUGCGUACCUUUUGUAUAAUGGGUCAGCGACUUAUAUUCUGUAGCAAGGUUAACCGCAUAGGGGAGCCGGAGGGAAACCGAGUCUUAAUUGGGCGUUAAGUUGCAGGGUAUAGACCCGAAACCCGGUGAUCUAGCCAUGGGCAGGUUGAAGGUUGGGUAACACUAACUGGAGGACCGAACCGACUAAUGUUGAAAAAUUAGCGGAUGACCUGUGGCUGGGGGUGAAAGGCCAAUCAAACCGGGAGAUAGCUGGUUCUCCCCGAAAGCUAUUUAGGUAGCGCCUCGUGAAUUCAUCUCCGGGGGUAGAGCACUGUUUCGGCUAGGGGGCCAUCCCGGCUUACCAACCCGAUGCAAACUGCGAAUACCGGAGAAUGUUAUCACGGGAGACACACGGCGGGUGCUAACGUCCGUCGUGAAGAGGGAAACAACCCAGACCGCCAGCUAAGGUCCCAAAGUCAUGGUUAAGUGGGAAACGAUGUGGGAAGGCCCAGACAGCCAGGAUGUUGGCUUAGAAGCAGCCAUCAUUUAAAGAAAGCGUAAUAGCUCACUGGUCGAGUCGGCCUGCGCGGAAGAUGUAACGGGGCUAAACCAUGCACCGAAGCUGCGGCAGCGAACGUAUCACUUAAAGCGAUUCAGCGGGUUACGAUUGACGGAGCGAAGCGACGUCAAAGCGUAUACAAAGUCGAGUCGGUUUAAGGAUACGUUCGUUGGGUAGGGGAGCGUUCUGUAAGCCUGCGAAGGUGGCCUGUGAGGGUUGCUGGAGGUAUCAGAAGUGCGAAUGCUGACAUAAGUAACGAUAAAGCGGGUGAAAAGCCCGCUCGCCGGAAGACCAAGGGUUCCUGUCCAACGUUAAUCGGGGCAGGGUGAGUCGACCCCUAAGGCGAGGCCGAAAGGCGUAGUCGAUGGGAAACGGGUUAAUAUUCCCGUACUUGGUGUUACUGCGAAGGGGGGACGGAGAAGGCUAUGUUGGCCGGGCGACGGUUGUCCCGGUUUAAGCGUGUAGGUGUGUGUUCCAGGUAAAUCCGGUUCACUUUAACACUGAGGCGUGAUGACGAGGCACUACGGUGCUGAAGCAACAAAUGCCCUGCUUCCAGGAAAAGCCUCUAAGCAUCAGGUAACAUCAAAUCGUACCCCAAACCGACACAGGUGGUCAGGUAGAGAAUACCAAGGCGCUUGAGAGAACUCGGGUGAAGGAACUAGGCAAAAUGGUGCCGUAACUUCGGGAGAAGGCACGCUGACACGUAGGUGAAGUGAUUUACUCAUGGAGCUGAAGUCAGUCGAAGAUACCAGCUGGCUGCAACUGUUUAUUAAAAACACAGCACUGUGCAAACACGAAAGUGGACGUAUACGGUGUGACGCCUGCCCGGUGCCGGAAGGUUAAUUGAUGGGGUCAGCGCAAGCGAAGCUCCUGAUCGAAGCCCCGGUAAACGGCGGCCGUAACUAUAACGGUCCUAAGGUAGCGAAAUUCCUUGUCGGGUAAGUUCCGACCUGCACGAAUGGCGUAAUGAUGGCCAGGCUGUCUCCACCCGAGACUCAGUGAAAUUGAACUCGCUGUGAAGAUGCAGUGUACCCGCGGCAAGACGGAAAGACCCCGUGAACCUUUACUAUAGCUUGACACUGAACAUUGAGCCUUGAUGUGUAGGAUAGGUGGGAGGCUUUGAAGUGUGGACGCCAGUCUGCAUGGAGCCGACCUUGAAAUACCACCCUUUAAUGUUUGAUGUUCUAACGUGGACCCGUAAUCCGGGUUGCGGACAGUGUCUGGUGGGUAGUUUGACUGGGGCGGUCUCCUCCUAAAGAGUAACGGAGGAGCACGAAGGUUGGCUAAUCCUGGUCGGACAUCAGGAGGUUAGUGCAAUGGCAUAAGCCAGCUUGACUGCGAGCGUGACGGCGCGAGCAGGUGCGAAAGCAGGUCAUAGUGAUCCGGUGGUUCUGAAUGGAAGGGCCAUCGCUCAACGGAUAAAAGGUACUCCGGGGAUAACAGGCUGAUACCGCCCAAGAGUUCAUAUCGACGGCGGUGUUUGGCACCUCGAUGUCGGCUCAUCACAUCCUGGGGCUGAAGUAGGUCCCAAGGGUAUGGCUGUUCGCCAUUUAAAGUGGUACGCGAGCUGGGUUUAGAACGUCGUGAGACAGUUCGGUCCCUAUCUGCCGUGGGCGCUGGAGAACUGAGGGGGGCUGCUCCUAGUACGAGAGGACCGGAGUGGACGCAUCACUGGUGUUCGGGUUGUCAUGCCAAUGGCACUGCCCGGUAGCUAAAUGCGGAAGAGAUAAGUGCUGAAAGCAUCUAAGCACGAAACUUGCCCCGAGAUGAGUUCUCCCUGAGACUUAGAGUCUCCUGAAGGAACGUUGAAGACGACGACGUUGAUAGGCCGGGUGUGUAAGCGCAGCGAUGCGUUGAGCUAACCGGUACUAAUGAACCGUGAGGCUUAACCUU